CUGGCACAGAAUUAGAGUAUACAGAAUGGAUGCUUGCCUAGGUUUAUCUGCUUGGAGAGCUACUGGGAAUGGAAGCUCAGCCCCUUUCCUCCCAAAGACAGAAGGGAAGAAUAGAAGAUGCUAGGACAGUAUGAUGUCAGGGAGAGGAAGGAUGAAGGGAGACUUUUGGAGGCAGUCACUUUUUCCUGGUCUUAUCCCUGUCUGGAACUUUCUGCGCUGGAGAGACUUGCUGGGUGAGUGACUGAAGCUGAAGGAAGAGGCUAAAGUUGGUGGAUUUCUGACUGAAGACACCAUUUGGAACCUCCACAUGGAGAUUGGGUCUUGAGGGAGCCCCUUACCAGGGCAGAGCCAGACUUCACAGGAUCAGCACUUAGGUUGAUAGGCCAGAUAAUUCUCUACCUCCUUCCUAUAUUUCACAAUUUAAUAUCUCUACCUUGUUGUAAAUAAAAGCUGCUAACAGUUUACCUGACUUAAGGGA
Molecule: long non-coding RNA, 478 nt
Filed under: Monodelphis domestica (gray short-tailed opossum)
Lineage: Eukaryota; Metazoa; Chordata; Mammalia; Didelphimorphia; Didelphidae
Description: lncRNA (ENSMODG00000044432.1)
Source: RNAcentral